AACGUAGGUGGCAAGCGUUAUCCGGAUUUACUGGGCGUAAAGGGUGUGCAGGCGGGGUUGCAAGUGGGGGAUGAAAUCUCCCGGCUUAACCGGGAGGGGUUAUGCCAGACUGCAAUUCUAGAGGACGAGAGAGGGGGGUGGAAUUCCGGGUGUAGUGGUGAAAUGCGUAGAGAUCCGGAGGAACCCCAGAGGCGAAGGCGGCCCCCUGGCUCGUACCUGACGCUCAGCCACGAAAGCAUGGGGAGCGAACGGG
RNAcentral lists this ribosomal RNA (253 nucleotides) under uncultured bacterium. RNAcentral describes it as "partial 16S ribosomal RNA". It matches the Rfam family "Bacterial small subunit ribosomal RNA", at positions 524 to 776 of the family's 1533-position model. The record is from RNAcentral.